CAUAAAGCCACGUCCCAUUAGCAACAAUUCUCUCUGAGGUUUAAAUAGGCAAGAUGUGAGACUCCAUCUGUUCAUGACAAACACAUGCUAUGACUGGAAGUUGAAGAUGAGAAACUGAAUGGACACAUUGGUUUGAAUGUUUUACCAACAGCAUGGAAUAGUUCUUGAACUGAGUUUUGAACUGUGGCCUCAGGCAGGUAGUUCAAGUCAAUUAAGACUUGGACAAACAGACUGAAGAACAGUUUAUAAUGUUCAUAAAUGCACAACAUGCUGGUUAAAGGAACCAUGUAUGAUAUGCCACAACAUUUCUGCAACCACUUUUGUUUAUUUUAUUUAAUUAGCUCAACAGUCUUCUUACAAAUGUAUUUUAAUUUAAUUUUACGUCCUAAUAUUUGACAUAAUAACAUAGGUGACUUUAACAUUAUUUUAUUUUUCAUAUGUAAGAUUAAAAGAAAGUGUAAAAGUUAGCAGCACGCAAGUGGAACUGUUGGCACGGGAACAGUUGUGCCCAUUGUUGUUGCAGGGGUACAGUUUCGCCCGGAGCCCAGGUGCAAUCUGAAUGACGAACACGGCUGCUGAACUCUAUUUUACAGAUGAGGCCAACAGAGCUGCGGCCUGCCUGCUGUCCCCACGCAUCUGACUGUCGAGUGGGAUAAUAUGAUCCCCCGACCUUCGUAUCAUAAGUGACGCUGGAGCAGGUCUGAAAAUGUAAUUACACCUGGUGGAGACACGCUGCCACUGGAGUAAUACGAUGACUCAUCAAGAGACACGCUGCUACCAGCUCACCGAUGACAUCAUCGCCAUCACCUUCACUAUUAUCAUCUGGUCCUGAGCUCGAGCUGCUACAUCACCUUCACCACCACCAUCAUCAUCAUCACCUUUUCCUCCCUGUGCUCCUGUACUGCAGCUGUAACACAGCACAUCCAUGAUGCUGCUGCUGCUGCUGCUGAGAGGAAGGAAGGAAGGAAGGAGACUCCGAGGGAACCUCCACAGCCUGACACAUGCAGCUCGAACCGGAGAGGAGAUCCGAACCUUUCCCUCUCUCACUCUCUGUUAAACAUGCCUCACUCUCUCAAUGACCGCAGUCUCUAUCUCAUUACAGCGGAUUAAAGCCUGGACAUGAAUGGACGUCGCUGCAGCAGCAGCUUUAGUCAAGUGAACUCUCACACUGAGGGUCAAACCAGGCUCAUGAUUAAAACGCUACACACUGUACCCACACACUGUGUAUCACAAUGACCGGUGCGGAUGCAGGGGAACGCGUUUCCAGGCAUGCAUGCGCUGUAUCGCCAAGAAGACGACCACAUCCUGGAAAUGUUCAGACUCGCACACGCGGAAUGAACCAGUCGUGUCGGCAUCCGUUACGCAAGCCCGGUGUUCUAAUCACAACUAAGUGCACACAAGCAAAAAAUGUAAUUGGCAUCUGGAUGGAGGUAUUCCUUUGCGCCUCGGUGCAGCAUCGCGCGUAAAAACGGGGAACAAUAAAACCCUACUCACGGAUGGAAUGGAAUCACACAGAACAGAAUUGCAGAUGAGGUUUUGCAUACCUUCAUUGCACCUCCCGUUC
Long non-coding RNA from Solea solea (common sole), 1564 nucleotides. RefSeq lists it as uncharacterized. NCBI's taxonomy places the organism in Eukaryota, Metazoa, Chordata, Actinopteri, Pleuronectiformes, Soleidae. The record is from RefSeq and is a predicted model, not a curated record. The transcript is spliced from 3 exons.